UUAAUGUGGAAGCUGUCCCAGAAGAAGUACGACUGGAAAAUAAUUUUUCAAAACCUGCAAGAAACUCUGAAAUUCAGGAACAGACUGACGCUAGCCUAACAUUACAGAAGUCAAUGAAAUUGUGCUGUUUCUGAGAAGGAAACGUACAUUUUUGAAGUGAAUGUUACAUCCACAUCUGAAAGGAACUUUUAAUGGGAGAGUAUCUGCUGCAUAUGAAAGGAGUUAUCUGACAGACUUUCUGUCCAUCCAGAAAGAAAAUAGUUCUACUUCAUGAACAGAAUGCCUCUGGUGAGAUCUGCGUAGAAGGUUAUCUACUGAUUGUAGAAGAUCCUCAACCUGACAUUGAAUCAUCCAGCACUGAAUGCUGGAUCUAAUUAGCGAAGCUGAGGUGUUUCCUGAAUGUCCUCUAAGC
Molecule: long non-coding RNA, 412 nt
Filed under: Dromaius novaehollandiae (emu)
Lineage: Eukaryota; Metazoa; Chordata; Aves; Casuariiformes; Dromaiidae
Description: lncRNA (ENSDNVG00000009217.1)
Source: RNAcentral